GUGCUUGCUGUGGCAGCACAAAUACUAAAAUUGGAACAAUACAGCAAGAUUAGCAUGGCCUCUGCACAGGGGGACACACAAAAAGCUACUUAGUACAGGGGU
Small nuclear RNA from Herpailurus yagouaroundi (jaguarundi), 102 nucleotides. The record is from RefSeq and is a predicted model, not a curated record. NCBI's taxonomy places the organism in Eukaryota, Metazoa, Chordata, Mammalia, Carnivora, Felidae.